GGGGAUUUUCUGGAAACAGAGGAAGUGCUUUAGCAAUAAAGAACCCGGUGACAGGUGCUGCAUGGCUGUCGUCAGCUCGUGUCGUGAGAUGUUGGGUUAAGUCCCGCAACGAGCGCAACCCUCGCCUUUAGUUGCCAGCAUUCAGUUGGGCACUCUAGAGGGACUGCCGGCGUCAAACCGGAGGAAGUGGGAUGACGUCAAGUCCUCAUGGCCUUUAUGUCUAGGGCUACACACGUACUACAAUGGCCGGUACAAAGGGCAGCCACUCAGCGAUGAGGCGCUAAUCCCAUAAAGCCGGUCUCAGUCCGGAUCGCAGUCUGCAACUCGACUGCGUGAAGUUGGAAUCGCUAGUAAUCGUAGAUCAGCAUGCUACGGUGAAUACGUUCCCGGGCCUU
This 395-nucleotide ribosomal RNA is filed under the name uncultured Desulfovibrio sp. RNAcentral describes it as "bacterial SSU rRNA". It matches the Rfam family "Bacterial small subunit ribosomal RNA", at positions 991 to 1382 of the family's 1533-position model. The record is from RNAcentral. Lineage: Bacteria; Pseudomonadati; Thermodesulfobacteriota; Desulfovibrionia; Desulfovibrionales; Desulfovibrionaceae.